UGAGAUACCUUCACCUGGUAGUAAAACUAACUCAGAGUCUUUGUCAUCAGUUUUCGUGGAUGCUCUGAUGGAGACAACAUGAUCUUUGAUUGAUAAAGAGGUUCUAAGUUACGACCAUAACAUCAUCGACAACAACUAUAUUUCGAAGCUUUGCUUUAAUAAUUAAGUUUCCUCCACCAGGAACUAGGAGAAUGUUGUGUUAGAACCCUUUGUAG
RNAcentral lists this long non-coding RNA (215 nucleotides) under Lathyrus oleraceus (garden pea). Its description in RNAcentral is "Pisum sativum (pea) long non-coding RNA (PSAT_LNC025842)". Lineage: Eukaryota; Viridiplantae; Streptophyta; Magnoliopsida; Fabales; Fabaceae. The record is from RNAcentral.